CUUGACAUCCAGAGAACUUGGCAGAGAUGGCCUCGGUGCCUUCGGGAACUCUGAGACAGGUGCUGCAUGGCUGUCGUCAGCUCGUGUUGUGAAAUGUUGGGUUAAGUCCCGCAACGAGCGCAACCCCCAUCCUUUGUUGCCAGCGAUUCGGUCGGGAACUCAAAGGAGACUGCCGGUGAUAAACCGGAGGAAGGUGGGGAUGACGUCAAGUCAUCAUGGCCCUUACGAGUAGGGCUACACACGUGCUACAAUGGCGUAUACAAAGAGAAGCGACCUCGCGAGAGCAAGCGGACCUCAUAAAGUACGUCGUAGUCCGGAUUGGAGUCUGCAACUCGACUCCAUGAAGUCGGAAUCGCUAGUAAUCGUAGAUCAGAAUGCUACGGUGAAUACGUUCCCGGGCCUUGUACACACCGCCCGUCACACCAUGGGAGUGGGUUGCAAAAGAAGUAGAUAGCUUAACCUUCGGGAGGGCGUUUACCACUUUGUGAUUCAUGACCGGGGUGAAGUCGUAACAAGGUAGGCGUACGUGU
Molecule: ribosomal RNA, 530 nt
Filed under: uncultured bacterium
Lineage: Bacteria
Description: bacterial SSU rRNA
Rfam family: Bacterial small subunit ribosomal RNA
Source: RNAcentral